CUUCUCCGGGGUUGCUGUCCAGGUACCAUCAAGAUGAACGCCGCUUCCCUGUUCCUGCGGGCCAUCAUCGUCGAAUCGCCGCCAUGCCUCCACUACCGCUCAGUGACGCGUCAACAGCGAGUGGCGCAGUUUCGUCAAAAUCUACGAGGGCGUCCGGUGUCUGUUCACGUCGGACAUCUACGUGAUACCGAUCACCACCCGGCAGUUUAUCUACGAGAUCAAACAUCCGCUGCGGUUGCGCGGGGACAUUCUGAUCCGGUGCUAUCAGAUCAUACCAAAUAACAACAAGCUGCACGACGAGAAGGAGCUGAUCUCGUGCGUGCAGUUCCACACCUGUGCCAUAACCGAGAGGGAAGUACAAUUCGCCAAGGUCGAGCUGGAUCUGGCGUGCAACGAUGAACGGUUUCCGGCCGAUCACAAAGUGAGGCUUGCUUCGAUACCACACCAAAUGAGAGGAGUGCGAUACUGGUCUUCCAAAAUCCGCUGGUGCGAAUAGAACCGAUUAUCGAGGGCGGCGACCAUCUGGAAACGAUCAAUGAA
Aedes aegypti (yellow fever mosquito) is the source of this 540-nucleotide long non-coding RNA. RefSeq lists it as uncharacterized. The transcript is spliced from 2 exons. Lineage: Eukaryota; Metazoa; Arthropoda; Insecta; Diptera; Culicidae. The record is from RefSeq and is a predicted model, not a curated record.